GCAAAUGUGUCGGAAUUGGUAUACGAGCUGUGCAAAUGUGCUGAAAUUGGUAGCCAGGUUGUACUUAGGAUGCAAUGUCAACCCUGAC
RNAcentral lists this transfer RNA (88 nucleotides) under Tremella fuciformis. RNAcentral's name for it is "tRNA-Leu". The record is from RNAcentral. Lineage: Eukaryota; Fungi; Basidiomycota; Tremellomycetes; Tremellales; Tremellaceae.